UACAGAGGGUGCAAGCGUUGUUCGGAAUUAUUGGGCGUAAAGCGCGUGUAGGCGGCUUGGCAAGUCGGGUGUGAAAGCCCUCAGCUCAACUGAGGAAGUGCGCCCGAAACUGCUUUGCUUGAGUGCUGGAGAGGGUCGCGGAAUUCCCCAAGUAGAGGUGAAAUUCGUAGAUAUGGGGAGGAACACCGGUGGCGAAGGCGGCGACCUGGACAGUAACUGACGCUGAGACGCGAAAGCGUGGGGAGCAAACAGGAUUAGAAACCCCCGUAGUCC
Molecule: ribosomal RNA, 273 nt
Filed under: uncultured bacterium
Lineage: Bacteria
Description: partial 16S ribosomal RNA
Rfam family: Bacterial small subunit ribosomal RNA
Source: RNAcentral